CGGAGUAAUAACACGUAAAAAGACGACAUAAAAAUAUUAAGUUCUCAAGAGUACUGUAGAAGAGGAGGAAAGUGUGAGUGAUGGCCAACAAUGAAGAGCUACUGAGUAACAUGGAGGAUACUUUUUCAUAAUCAUUGUACUGAAUUCCAACACCUACACACAGGAUUCUAAAUCAUGGCUGCCCAUGGAGAAAAGUUCAGCUUUUCACUUUAUUCAGAUUGUCUCCAUUGAACCAAAAGGAUGGCAGUGUGCUACACAUUGUGUUUCCAUGCUCACUUCCAGGUAAUUUC
Molecule: non-coding RNA, 290 nt
Organism: Cyanistes caeruleus (blue tit)
Lineage: Eukaryota; Metazoa; Chordata; Aves; Passeriformes; Paridae
Source: RefSeq, a predicted model, not a curated record